Cheilinus undulatus (humphead wrasse) is the source of this 552-nucleotide long non-coding RNA. RefSeq lists it as uncharacterized. NCBI's taxonomy places the organism in Eukaryota, Metazoa, Chordata, Actinopteri, Labriformes, Labridae. The transcript has 4 exons. The record is from RefSeq and is a predicted model, not a curated record.
AGUGGCUUUCCAGAUGAGUAAGCUGCCCAUGCCAUAGGCGCUAAUGCAACCCCAUCCCAUCAGAGAUGCAGGCUUCGAUAACAAGCUAGAUGACCCCUCUCCUCUUCAGAGGCCACAGCAUCCAUGGUUCCCGAAAAGACAGGCAUGGUGUGGGACGGAAAAUACUCUGUGAACUCAAAUGCAAAAGGUCUAUAACUCAAAGAUGAAACCCCAAACCUUCUCAUCUGUAACACCUGCAAGAGCCGUGAAGAUCCGUGGCCCCAGGUCUCUGGCCGGAUUCACCGCAUACCCACAGUUAAAGCCCAUCGACAGGCCGAUGACCAACACCACAAAGCCGAUGGUGAACGGCUCCAGACCUUUGGGAGUUGGAUUGUUGUUUGGAUCAACUAUGGCCAGGAUGGACACGAUCAGUGCAGCUGUUCCAAUAACCUGGGAUAAAGUAAAGAGUGUCCCAACUAUUUUGGAAUUGGGAUUUGGUUAUUCUUACCUGAGAUCUGUCCACUCACAAGGAUCCCCAGGGUUACAGAAAAUCCAAAGGCCAAGUUGACGCUG